Molecule: regulatory RNA element, 28 nt
Organism: Flavobacterium succinicans
Lineage: Bacteria; Pseudomonadati; Bacteroidota; Flavobacteriia; Flavobacteriales; Flavobacteriaceae
Rfam family: L19-Flavobacteria ribosomal protein leader
Source: Rfam
CAACCUCUGGCGAGAACCGUGAAUGUUG